AGAGUUUGAUCCUGGCUCAGAACGAACGCUGGCGGCGCGUUUUAAGCAUGCAAGUCGUACGGUAGAAAGUCUUCGGAUUUUCGAGAGUGGCGAACGGGUGAGUAACACGUAGGUAAUCUACCUUUUCGUUGGGGAUAGCCCAUGGAAACAUGGGGUAAUACCGAAUAUGACCUUCAGACCUGCGGGAAAGAAGGGGAAAGGUGCCACGGCACCGCGAGAAGAUGAGCCUGCGGCUCAUUAGCUAGUUGGUGGGGUAAGAGCCUACCAAGGCGACGAUGAGUAGCCGGCCUGAGAGGGUGGACGGCCACACUGGGACUGAGACACGGCCCAGACUCCUACGGGAGGCAGCAGCUAAGAAUCUUCCGCAAUGGGCGAAAGCCUGACGGAGCGACGCCGCGUGAACGAAGAAGGCCGUGAGGUUGUAAAGUUCUUUUCUUGGGGAGGAAUAAGUCCUGCAGGGAAUGGCAGGAUGAUGACGUUAACCGAGGAAUAAGCCCCGGCUAAUUACGUGCCAGCAGCCGCGGUAACACGUAAGGGGCAAGCGUUGUUCGGAAUUAUUGGGCGUAAAGGGCGCGUAGGCGGGAAGCCAAGCCUGAUGUGAAAGAUCCCGGCUCAACUGGGGGAAUGCAUUGGGAACUGGUUUUCUUGAGUAUAAGAGGGGAUGUUGGAAUUCCAG
This 676-nucleotide ribosomal RNA is filed under the name uncultured bacterium. RNAcentral describes it as "bacterial SSU rRNA". It matches the Rfam family "Bacterial small subunit ribosomal RNA", at positions 8 to 672 of the family's 1533-position model. The record is from RNAcentral.